This 181-nucleotide ribosomal RNA is filed under the name uncultured bacterium. RNAcentral describes it as "partial 16S ribosomal RNA". It matches the Rfam family "Bacterial small subunit ribosomal RNA", at positions 317 to 494 of the family's 1533-position model. The record is from RNAcentral.
UGUUUGGGCACUGGGGACUCUACGGUAGGCAGCAGUGGGGAAUUUUGGACAAUGGCGAAAGCCUGAUCCAGCAAUGCCGCGUGCAGGAUAAAGGCCCUCGGGUUGUAAACUGCUUUUGUACGGAACGAAAAGCCUGGGGCUAAUAUCCCCGGGUCAUGACGGUACCGUAAGAAUAAGCAGC